GCGGGGACUUAAAGGGAGCCUGAACACCCCCGCUCUGCGCCCCUGAUGAGGUAGUACCCAUAAAGAGAAAGAGAGCCUGGCGAUACAACCGUGUCUGGACAAAGGAUAUGAAAUGGACACGAGAGGGAAUUGCCACCAGCGAAGCACAGAGGGUGCCACUCCCCUCCAAAAAGGACCAACCCAAGCAGACUGGUGAGGAUCCAGACAAGGGCUCGUCAGAGACCUUAAACACAGCAUCUGGGAAACCUGACGAGG
Saccostrea cuccullata (small rock oyster) is the source of this 255-nucleotide long non-coding RNA. RefSeq lists it as uncharacterized. NCBI's taxonomy places the organism in Eukaryota, Metazoa, Mollusca, Bivalvia, Ostreida, Ostreidae. The transcript has 4 exons. The record is from RefSeq and is a predicted model, not a curated record.